RNAcentral lists this ribosomal RNA (429 nucleotides) under Verrucomicrobiota bacterium. Its description in RNAcentral is "Verrucomicrobia bacterium partial 16S ribosomal RNA". It matches the Rfam family "Bacterial small subunit ribosomal RNA", at positions 355 to 776 of the family's 1533-position model. The record is from RNAcentral. Lineage: Bacteria; Pseudomonadati; Verrucomicrobiota.
UAGGGAAUCUUCGGCAAUGGGGGGAACCCUGACCGAGCAACGCCGCGUGAGUGAAGAAGGUUUUCGGAUCGUAAAGCUCUGUUGUUAAGGAAGAACGAGUGUGAGAAUGGAAAGUUCAUGCUGUGACGGUACUUAACCAGAAAGGGACGGCUAACUACGUGCCAGCAGCCGCGGUAAUACGUAGGUCCCGAGCGUUGUCCGGAUUUAUUGGGCGUAAAGCGAGCGCAGGCGGUUAGAAAAGUCUGAAGUGAAAGGCAGUGGCUCAACCAUUGUAGGCUUUGGAAACUGUUUAACUUGAGUGCAGAAGGGGAGAGUGGAAUUCCAUGGGUAGCGGUGAAAUGCGUAGAUAUAUGGAGGAACACCGGUGGCGAAAGCGGCUCUCUGGUCUGUAACUGACGCUGAGGCUCGAAAGCGGGGGGAGCGAACAGG